GAGGCGUCCCCAGGGUGCUUGAGGCUCUCCCCAGGGUGCUUGAGGCUCUCCCCAAGGGCCUUGAGGUGUCCCCAGGGUGCUUGAGGCUCUCCCCAGGGUGCUUGAGGCUCUCCCCAAGGGCCUUGAGGCUCUCCCCAGGGUGCUUGAGGCUCUCCCCAAGGGCCUUGAGGUGUCCCCAGGGUGCUUGAGGCUCUCCCCAGGGUGCUUGAGGCUCUCCCCAAGGGCCUUGAGGUGUCCCCAGGGUGCUUGAGUUGUCCCCAAGGUCCUUGAGGCUCUCCCCAGGGUGCUUGAGGUGUCCCCAGGGUGCUUGAGGCUCUCCCCAAGGGUCUUGAGGCUCUCCCCAGGGUGCUUGAGGCUCUCCCCAAGGGGCUCAAAGUGUCCCCCCAGGGCUCGAGGUCUCUCCUGCUCCCCCCCCCCAGAGCCAGGAGUUUGUUGCUCUCUUUCUCCUCCUUCCCUUUCUUUACAGCAGAGCUCAGUGCCAGGGCCCUGAGUGCCAGGUGCCAGGCAGGGCACUGCCACUGUGCCCCCCUGGCACCAGGAGACCCUCUGGAGUGGGACACCCCCAAACCUCCUCCCCCCCCAAUAAAAACCAAUUCCUGAC
Molecule: long non-coding RNA, 601 nt
Organism: Pogoniulus pusillus (Red-fronted tinkerbird)
Lineage: Eukaryota; Metazoa; Chordata; Aves; Piciformes; Lybiidae
Exons: 2
Source: RefSeq, a predicted model, not a curated record